This is a long non-coding RNA of Thalassophryne amazonica, 531 nucleotides long. RefSeq lists it as uncharacterized. The record is from RefSeq and is a predicted model, not a curated record. The transcript is spliced from 4 exons. Lineage: Eukaryota; Metazoa; Chordata; Actinopteri; Batrachoidiformes; Batrachoididae.
AGCACUUGUUGACUGAAUGAAACGUUGCAGCUUGUAAAAGAUGACUGGACACCACUGAAGUAAAGGAAAAACUGUCAUCAAGUACAUUUGUACCUCAGACGAAGUUUACCUUCGUUGUGCCGCCUGUCUCAUCGAUCUUUAACACUGCUCUCCUCCUUCACACCUUUCGUUUCCUCCUCCAUCUUCACCCCCUGCUUCCUUCAUCCAGGAGGACAGUGAGAGGUACUCACGCCCUUCACGGAUACAAACGCUCUCGGAUGACGAUGAACGGAUGUCUGUCGGGAACCGAGGCAGCAUCAGGUCAGAUCUCGAUGCAGUUGGGGCCUACGGUGGAGGGGGCUCCUCUUCAUACUUGCACAAGAAGUCAAAGAAAAAGAAGAAACAUAAGCACAGAGAUGUACGUAAAAGCUCAAACAAAAGACACCUUAACACUUUCACAAAUUUGAUCCCCACACUGGCACACGGUCUUGUGUGCCAGUGAGUAAACUGUUAACUGUGCAUGGCUGCAUGCCAGUGUGUAAAGAAAAUUUU